This 2306-nucleotide long non-coding RNA is filed under the name Malus domestica (apple). Its description in RNAcentral is "long non-coding RNA (MDOM_LNC017415)". Lineage: Eukaryota; Viridiplantae; Streptophyta; Magnoliopsida; Rosales; Rosaceae. The record is from RNAcentral.
AUUCUAUGUUGAAACACUCUUAUCUUCCCUUACUUUAGAUUCGUCAGACUCGCAAGCGUUUUAAUCGUGCAAUGCAGCAACAAUUAAAUAUAUUAAAUAAGAAGAUGAGAACACACUAUUUUUCUUUUACGUGGUAAAACCCACACACAUUCGGAAAAUUUCAAGAGCACGCUGCCGGUUGAAGAAUCCACAAUUGUCAAACAAACAAGUACAAAACUCAUACAAGACAAUUUUUUUUUUUUUUUUUGAAAAAUAAUAUCAUGGGUUAAAUAGUUUGUUGUUAGGGUGGAGGAGAAUCGGCAGUGAUCGAACUCACACCAUAAUGCAUAGACAUAAUUGCUUUCAACUACUAUUAGUUGCACACCUCUAGUUGCGAAUGUAGUCACUUCAGAGUGUUGGAAGUAUGCCCACAAGGCCACUCAUUUGAUGUAAUAGCUUUUGAAUACUUAUUGUGUUAAACUAUUAUAUGUUUAAUGAAGGGCAAAUCUUAUUGUUAAUCACUAUUAAUGUAUUAUGCGUUUAAGCAAUAAGGGAAUCCAAGGAAUGCAUUUAAUCUAAGAGAGAAGUGAUCUAAGUAAGUUAGAUUAACGAGACAUUUCUUUUAUAUUCAUUCCUAAAACGUUCCUAGCCACAAGAUUGCCAAUUGGGCAUUGACAAUCCAUUAAGGUUAGUAUGUGUUAUGUUAACUCAAGCGUAAGUAUGACUAGUCUCAAGUCAUUCAGUGUUGGACACUAGGACAAACACAUAGGUGCUCAAAAGAUAAUUGAGUGCACUGAACAACGAUCAAAAGGGAGUUUGAACAUACAUGUCAUGUAAGAACUCUUAAGUUGCAAUAUGCAAAGUAGUACUUUGACCUGAGGCAUCAUAGAUGUCUAAUGGUUGGAUCCUUGAUCUUUAAUUCUGUUAAAGGCAUUCCAUUGAGAGUGUCCACGACAUUGUUGGGGUCAAACUAUCUAGUCAUGUAGGCAUAUGAAUGCACAACAAAGGAUCUCUAACAUUCCAUGGUAGAGGGAGAAUACUCUGAGAUAUGAUUCGGGAGUCUUUGGCCAAAGCAUAUGAAUAUGACUUAGGAAGUUUGUUCCAAAUCAUAUUCAGUUGAAUCAUAUAGAGAAGUAUCACAUUGGAUAGUAGACAUGAAACAAACUAUCACUCAAACAAUGUGAUUAAGAGUAUUGUAUUAGAGAAUGACCGUAUUGCAUUGUAAUUGUAACUGGAUAGGUUCUCCAAUCACUUCUACUUAGCUUGGGUAGCCAUGACAUACUGUUAGGUGUCACUCAUGGUUUGUGGAAACCCUGAAGAUUAGCAAACACUAAUCUUCAUCAAAGGGAGAAUUGAAAUGUAGUUUCAAUUCAUAAUCGAUCGUUAAGAGUAACAAUCGCCAAUUACCUCGCUAAUUGGAACCUACUAGAUCGUACACCGAUUAAGGAUGAAAGUAAAGAAAUAUAUAUGAGAUGGAUAAGCAAUUAAAUAGUUUAAUUGAGAAUGGUCAAGAUUAAUUAAUUAGUUAAUUAAUCUUACGAAAGGUUCUUAUUGGGCUUUUAAGUUGGUUUUAGGUUUCGGGGCCCAAAAGGGUUUUUGGUCCACAAGACCCAUUGAGUUCAGGUUGUUUGACAACUAAAACUAAAUGGAAAUUAACCCAAAAACAAAGUCAAAACCAGCCUAGGGUAAGUGGAUGCAAACUUGGCUUAAUUACAAGUUUGCCACUCACAUGUGAGGUUUUAUAAAGGCAACUUUAUAGCCAUUAUCUAAAAAGGGAUUUCUUGAGGAAAAGAAGAAAAACUUUUUCUCUCUUUUUCUCCAUAGAGGCCGGCCACUUAGGGGAGGGAUAGCUAGCAAUCUUUCUUCCUCUGAGUCAUCCAUUUCAUCUUCACAUCUCAUCCUUGGUGUGGAGACUUAGAGACACCAAACAUUUGGUGUUCUUGGAGAUCCUUUCAUCAAAUCCUCAAGGAGCAAAGGAGUAUCAAAAGGAAGAAAAUCACAAGGAAGAUCUAAGGAGCUAGGAGGUGACUUGAAGGCCCUCCACUUGGGUGAAUCCCUUGUGUAAACAAGGAUGAGCUUCAAGGGUAAUGAAUCUCAAAAUCUUUUCUUCUCUUUAAUGUUGUUAAAGAGUCUUGUGGUUCACCAUUCACUAGGCUUUGAAAGUCAUGGGUUUUAGAAUUGUUUUGAAUGCAUGCCUACUUUAAAGUGUUAUUAGUUUGCAUAUGUGUUCAAAUGUUCUCACAUGUUCUUAGCUAGGACAAAAUUUUUCAUUCACAAAGCUCCAAGCUUUGUGAAUAUAGCUUCAUCAUGCAUAAUGAAGGAUACGA